GUGAGGUGGUCGAUAAUUUAAACACUUGACAGAAUAGCCAAGGUAAUAAGAUCCUUAAAGGGCUAGUGAAUUGUUAAAAAAAGAGAGAGGCAGAAAGAUCCAUAACCAAAACCAAAACAAAAGGAAACAGACAAAAGUCCUCACCCUGGGCUUCCCAGCCACAGAGCAAAGGGUCACCUACCUGGAAUAAGGUAGAGGGCAUUGUCAAAAUGCUCUACUUUGUGGGCCUGCCUACCUAUCUGGACUGCCUCUGUAUCUCAUUCUUUUGAGUUGAGGUACCUAAAGUGCAGCUGUAUGUUAACCUGGGGACACCUUGCUGUUGGCUGGCAUGAACACAACUGUCAUCCAGUUGUGUAGCUGCGCUGGAGGAACUGGACCACAAACCAGAUGCAGAAAUAGCAGCUCAGAGAGGCAACUGACCUGCCCACAGCCCCAGGAACCAGGUCUAGAGGGACCCUGCUGUAUCUUUGCCUGAGAGAUGGAGCUGUCUGUUACCGGCACAGCCUGAAGGGGAAGAAGACCAUGGAGCUGCCUCACCUGCUAACUCUUCUCGAUUGAACCAGCUCUCCACUUGGGAAUUUGACUGCAACAUGCCUUCUCAGGACACCAGGCAUCCUAGCCUUAAGGAGGGCACAGGUACAUUUUCCUAGGCCAAAUUAAUAUGGAUUUUGAAUUACCUUCUAUUGUUCAGAAAGAUCCUUUCUGCAUUGGUGGCUUUGACAUUUCCCAGGCUGCAAGAGCCAUGGAUCUACUCUGACAGCUGCGUUGGAGAAGGUUCUGAAAGUCUUCUUUACAUCCCUAACCAGACAGGUCAUCAGGAAACUCCUCCAACAAGCGCUGAC
Molecule: long non-coding RNA, 842 nt
Filed under: Cercocebus atys (sooty mangabey)
Lineage: Eukaryota; Metazoa; Chordata; Mammalia; Primates; Cercopithecidae
Description: lncRNA (ENSCATG00000045767.1)
Source: RNAcentral